This 77-nucleotide transfer RNA is filed under the name Microbacterium sp. BLY. RNAcentral describes it as "tRNA-Ile". It matches the Rfam family "tRNA". Rfam says of the family: Transfer RNA (tRNA) molecules are approximately 80 nucleotides in length. Their secondary structure includes four short double-helical elements and three loops (D, anti-codon, and T loops). The record is from RNAcentral. Lineage: Bacteria; Bacillati; Actinomycetota; Actinomycetes; Micrococcales; Microbacteriaceae.
GGGGCGGUGGCCAAGCUGGUUAAGGCAGUGGGCUCAUAACCCAACGACCGCGGGUUCAAGUCCCGCCCGCCCUACCA